CCUACGGGCUGCAGCAGUGGGGAAUCUUAGACAAUGGGCGAAAGCCUGAUCUAGCCAUGCCGCGUGUGUGAUGAAGGCCCUAGGGUCGUAAAGCACUUUCGCCAGGGAUGAUAAUGACAGUACCUGGUAAAGAAACCCCGGCUAACUCCGUGCCAGCAGCCGCGGUAAUACGGAGGGGGUUAGCGUUGUUCGGAAUUACUGGGCGUAAAGCGUACGUAGGCGGAUCAGAAAGUAGGGGGUGAAAUCCCGAGGCUCAACCUCGGAACUGCCUCCUAAACUCCUGGUCUUGAGUUCGAGAGAGGUGAGUGGAAUUCCAAGUGUAGAGGUGAAAUUCGUAGAUAUUUGGAGGAACACCAGUGGCGAAGGCGGCUCACUGGCUCGAUACUGACGCUGAGGUACGAAAGUGUGGGGAGCAAACAGGAUUAGAUACCCCGGUAGUC
Molecule: ribosomal RNA, 440 nt
Filed under: uncultured bacterium
Lineage: Bacteria
Description: bacterial SSU rRNA
Rfam family: Bacterial small subunit ribosomal RNA
Source: RNAcentral